ACGAGAAAGCGGGGGCAACCCCGUGAGUAAAGUGGCGACCGGGUGAGUAACACGUGGGCAACCUACCCCUCUGUCCGGGAUAACCCACCGAAAGGUGGGCUAAUACCAGAUGACGUCCCUGCGGGGCAUCCUGUGGGGACCAAAGGGGGCGAGCGCAAGCGGCUCUCGCGGAGGGAUGGGCCUGCGGCUGAUUAGCUAGUUGGCGGGGUAACGGCCCACCAAGGCUCUGAUCAGUAGCCGACCUGAGAGGGUGACCGGCCACACUGGGACUGAGACACGGCCCAGACUCCUACGGGAGGCAGCAGUGGGGAAUCUUGCGCAAUGGGCGAAAGCCUGACGCAGCGACGCCGCGUGGGCGAUGAAGGCCUUCGGG
RNAcentral lists this ribosomal RNA (373 nucleotides) under uncultured bacterium. RNAcentral describes it as "bacterial SSU rRNA". It matches the Rfam family "Bacterial small subunit ribosomal RNA", at positions 66 to 422 of the family's 1533-position model. The record is from RNAcentral.